GACGAACGCUGGCGGCGUGCUUAACACAUGCAAGUCGAGCGGUAAGGCCCUUUCGGGGGUACGACGAGCGGCGAACGGGUGAGUAACACGUGGGUGACCUGCCCUUAGCUCUGGGAUAAGCCUGGGAAACGUGGGUCGUAAUACCGGAUAUGACUCCAUGACGCAUGUUGUGGGGUGGAAAGCCUUGUGCGGCUAGGGAUGGGCCCGCGGCCUAUCAGCUUGUUGGUGGGGUGAUGGCCUACCAAGGCGACGACGGGUAGCCGGCCUGAGAGGGCGACCGGCCACACUGGGACUGAGACACGGCCCAGACUCCUACGGGAGGCAGCAGUGGGAAUCUUGCGCAAUGGGCGAAAGCCUGACGCAGCGACGCCGCGUGGGGAUGACGGCCUCGG
RNAcentral lists this ribosomal RNA (392 nucleotides) under uncultured bacterium. RNAcentral describes it as "bacterial SSU rRNA". It matches the Rfam family "Bacterial small subunit ribosomal RNA", at positions 28 to 420 of the family's 1533-position model. The record is from RNAcentral.